This 253-nucleotide ribosomal RNA is filed under the name uncultured bacterium. RNAcentral's name for it is "partial 16S ribosomal RNA". It matches the Rfam family "Bacterial small subunit ribosomal RNA", at positions 524 to 776 of the family's 1533-position model. The record is from RNAcentral.
UACGAGGGGUGCAAGCGUUGCUCGGAAUUAUUGGGCGUAAAGGGUAGGUAGGUGGUCUCAUUUGUCUGGGGUGAAAGCCUUGAGCUUAACUCAAGAAGUGCCCCGGAAACGGUGAGACUAGAGUACUGGAGAGGGUCGUGGAAUUCCCGGUGUAGCGGUGAAAUGCGUAGAGAUCGGGAGGAACACCAGAGGCGAAGGCGGCGACCUGGACAGUGACUGACACUGAACUACGAAAGCGUGGGGAGCAAACAGG